UACGUAGGGUGCGAGCGUUAAUCGGAAUUACUGGGCGUAAAGUGUGCGCAGGUGGCCGCGCAAGUCGAGUGUGAAAUCCCCGAGCUUAACUUGGGAAUUGCGCUCGAAACUACGUGGCUCGAGUGUGGCAGAGGAAGGUGGAAUUCCACGUGUAGCGGUGAAAUGCGUAGAUAUCUGGAGGAACACCGGUGGCGAAGGCGGCAUCCUGGACCGGUAUUGACACUGAAAAGCGAAAGCCAGGGGAGCAAACGGG
RNAcentral lists this ribosomal RNA (253 nucleotides) under uncultured bacterium. RNAcentral's name for it is "partial 16S ribosomal RNA". It matches the Rfam family "Bacterial small subunit ribosomal RNA", at positions 524 to 776 of the family's 1533-position model. The record is from RNAcentral.